This 554-nucleotide ribosomal RNA is filed under the name Ceriagrion rubiae. RNAcentral's name for it is "partial large subunit ribosomal RNA". It matches the Rfam family "Bacterial large subunit ribosomal RNA", at positions 1783 to 2622 of the family's 2925-position model. Lineage: Eukaryota; Metazoa; Arthropoda; Insecta; Odonata; Coenagrionidae. The record is from RNAcentral.
UUUAGAUCGCCCUGUUUUUCAAAAACAUGUCCUUUCGUUUUUUUGGAAGGUCUGGCCUGCCCAGUGAAUAAAUUUAACGGCCGCGGUAUAUUGACCGUGCAAAGGUAGCAUAAUCAUUAGUCUUUUAAUAGGAGGCUGGUAUGAAAGGUUUAACGAAACAUAAACUGUCUUAUUUAUAAAUUUUAAUUUAACUUUUAAGUUAAAAGGCUUAAAUAUAUUUGGAGGACGAGAAGACCCUAUAGAGCUUUACAUUAUUUAUUUUUAAUAUUUAUUUGUUUGAUAAUUUGAUAUUAAUUCUAAUAAUGUUUUGUUGGGGUGACAAGAAAUAUAUACUUAACUUUUAUCAUUUAAUUUACAUUAAUUUAUGAGUUUUGGAUCCAAUAUUAUUGAUCAUUAGAUUAAGUUACCUUAGGGAUAACAGCGUAAUCUUCUUUCAGAGUUCAAAUUUACAAGAAGGCUUGCGACCUCGAUGUUGGAUUAAGAUAAUAAUUAGGUGCAGUAGCUUAAUUAAUAGGUCUGUUCGACCCUAAAUCUUACAGAUACUUGACCGCCCC